AAUAGUAAAACGAUGGGGUAUUUCGAGAGUAGAUGGGGUAUUUCGAGGGUCUUAAAAGCUUGGUUAAAGCUGAAGAUACAAAUGUGUAUUUAUAGAUGAAAACAAGAUAAGAUUUGGGCGGAAUUUUUGAUUUUUCUCAAACUUCUUCCACACUUUGAAUCUGAACGUUGACAAUAAUGGACGAACUGUGAGCCUUCAUCUGAUUUGAACAGUAACAACCAGACACGCUUCAAACUAUACGUGAAAUAGGAAAGCUUUUACUGUUCCUUUGAUAAUGGACAUCAUUGUAACAUAAAAUGGGAAGAGGGGGAUGAAGACACAUCUGUAGCUUCCAAAAUUUGCACAAAAAUGGUGCCUUAAGCAUAUGUAAAAUGAAGAAAUUGGACAUCGUUGAAACAUAAAAUGGGAAAAGGGGGAUGAAGACGCAUCUGUACCUUCAAAAAUUUGCACAAAAAUAGUGCCUUAAGCAUCUUUAAAAUGGAGAAAGCAUUUGAAAAUUUUACCUGAAGAGAAAAAGGAACAACGGCGCCACA
Molecule: long non-coding RNA, 533 nt
Filed under: Solanum tuberosum (potato)
Lineage: Eukaryota; Viridiplantae; Streptophyta; Magnoliopsida; Solanales; Solanaceae
Description: long non-coding RNA (STUB_LNC011347)
Source: RNAcentral